This 1074-nucleotide ribosomal RNA is filed under the name Rhizosphaera oudemansii. Its description in RNAcentral is "SSU rRNA". It matches the Rfam family "Eukaryotic small subunit ribosomal RNA", at positions 51 to 1137 of the family's 1831-position model. Lineage: Eukaryota; Fungi; Ascomycota; Dothideomycetes; Dothideales; Dothideaceae. The record is from RNAcentral.
AUGCAUGUCUAAGUAUAAGCAACUAUACGGUGAAACUGCGAAUGGCUCAUUAAAUCAGUUAUCGUUUAUUUGAUAGUACCUUACUACUUGGAUAACCGUGGUAAUUCUAGAGCUAAUACAUGCUAAAAACCUCGACUUCGGAAGGGGUGUAUUUAUUAGAUAAAAAACCAAUGCCUCCGGGCUCCUUGGUGAUUCAUAAUAACUAAACGAAUCGCAUGGCCUUGCGCCGGCGAUGGUUCAUUCAAAUUUCUGCCCUAUCAACUUUCGAUGGUAGGAUAGUGGCCUACCAUGGUAUCAACGGGUAACGGGGAAUUAGGGUUCUAUUCCGGAGAGGGAGCCUGAGAAACGGCUACCACAUCCAAGGAAGGCAGCAGGCGCGCAAAUUACCCAAUCCCGACACGGGGAGGUAGUGACAAUAAAUACUGAUACAGGGCUCUUUUGGGUCUUGUAAUUGGAAUGAGUACAAUUUAAAUCCCUUAACGAGGAACAAUUGGAGGGCAAGUCUGGUGCCAGCAGCCGCGGUAAUUCCAGCUCCAAUAGCGUAUAUUAAAGUUGUUGCAGUUAAAAAGCUCGUAGUUGAACUUGGGCCUGGCUGGCCGGUCCGCCUCACCGCGUGUACUGGUCCGGCCGGGCCUUUCCUUCUGGGGAGCCGCAUGCCCUUCACUGGGCGUGUUGGGGAACCAGGACUUUUACUUUGAAAAAAUUAGAGUGUUCAAAGCAGGCCUUUGCUCGAAUACAUUAGCAUGGAAUAAUAGAAUAGGACGUGCGGUUCUAUUUUGUUGGUUUCUAGGACCGCCGUAAUGAUUAAUAGGGAUAGUCGGGGGCAUCAGUAUUCAAUUGUCAGAGGUGAAAUUCUUGGAUUUAUUGAAGACUAACUACUGCGAAAGCAUUUGCCAAGGAUGUUUUCAUUAAUCAGUGAACGAAAGUUAGGGGAUCGAAGACGAUCAGAUACCGUCGUAGUCUUAACCAUAAACUAUGCCGACUAGGGAUCGGGCGAUGUUAUCAUUUUGACUCGCUCGGCACCUUACGAGAAAUCAAAGUCUUUGGGUUCUGGGGGGAGUAUGGUCGCAAGGC